Molecule: ribosomal RNA, 550 nt
Filed under: uncultured archaeon
Lineage: Archaea
Description: bacterial SSU rRNA
Rfam family: Archaeal small subunit ribosomal RNA
Source: RNAcentral
CGGGGUGCAGCAGGCGCGAAAACUCCACAAUGUACGACAGUACGAUGGGGUUAUCUCGAGUGCAGUCCGAUAAGGGCUGCUUUUCCAUAGAGUAAUAUCCUGUGGGAAUAAGAGGGGGGCAAGACUGGUGUCAGCCGCCGCGGUAACACCAGCCCCUCGAGUGGUGGGGACUAUUAUUUGGUCUAAAGCGUCCGUAGCUGGCUGUAUCCGUCCCCCGUUAAAUCCAGCGUCCUAAGCGUUGGACUGCGGGUGAUACCAUACAGCUAGAGGGUGGGAUAGGUGAGCGGUAUUUCUGGGGUAGGGGCGAAAUCCUUUGAUCCCAGGAGGACCACCAGUGGCGAAGGCUGCUCACUAGAACACGCCUGACGGUCAGGGACGAAAGCUGGGGCAGCGAACCGGAUUAGAUACCCGGGUAGUCCCAGCUGUAAACGAUGCCGCUAGGUGUUGGGUCGGCCACGCGCCGCCCCAGUGCCGCAGGGAAGCCGUUAAGCUGGCCACCUGGGGAGUACGGCCGCAAGGCUGAAACUUAAAGGAAUUGGCGGGGGAGCAC